This 481-nucleotide ribosomal RNA is filed under the name uncultured bacterium. RNAcentral describes it as "partial 16S ribosomal RNA". It matches the Rfam family "Bacterial small subunit ribosomal RNA", at positions 28 to 506 of the family's 1533-position model. The record is from RNAcentral.
GAUGAACGCUAGCGGCAGGCCUAAUACAUGCAAGUCGGACGGAAUGCAGGAGCUUGCUUCUGAUGAGAGUGGCGCACGGGUGCGUAACACGUAUGUAACCUACCUUUUUCAGUGGGAUAGCCUCUCGAAAGAGAGAUUAAGCCCGCAUAAAAUCACAGCACAGCUUUGUGUAGUGAUCAAAUAUUUAUAGGAUAAAGAUGGGCAUGCGGAACAUUAGAUAGGUGGCGGGGUAACGGCCCACCAUGGCGACGAUGUUUAGGGUAUCUGAGAAGAAGGCACCCUAGACUGGAACUGAGACACCGGCACGAAUACAACGGACGGAGGCAGUAGGGAAGAUUGAUCGAUGCAUGGAAAACUAAACCAGCAAUGCCGAGUGACCAACGACGGCCGUCAGGGUUGUAAACUGCUUUUAUAAGGGAAUAAACCCAGAUACGUGUAUCUGGCUGAAUGAACUGGAAGAAUAAGGAUCGGCGAACUCCGU